This 490-nucleotide ribosomal RNA is filed under the name uncultured bacterium. Its description in RNAcentral is "bacterial SSU rRNA". It matches the Rfam family "Bacterial small subunit ribosomal RNA", at positions 15 to 507 of the family's 1533-position model. The record is from RNAcentral.
GAUCAUGGCUCAGAUUGAACGCUGGCGGCAUGCUUUACACAUGCAAGUCGAACGGUAACAGGUUAAGCUGACGAGUGGCGAACGGGUGAGUAAUAUAUCGGAACGUGCCCAGUCGUGGGGGAUAACGUAGCGAAAGUUACGCUAAUACCGCAUACGAUCUACGGAUGAAAGCAGGGGACCGCAAGGCCUUGCGCGAACGGAGCGGCCGAUGGCAGAUUAGGUAGUUGGUGGGAUAAAAGCUUACCAAGCCGACGAUCUGUAGCUGGUCUGAGAGGACGACCAGCCACACUGGGACUGAGACACGGCCCAGACUCCUACGGGAGGCAGCAGUGGGGAAUUUUGGACAAUGGGCGAAAGCCUGAUCCAGCCAUGCCGCGUGCAGGAUGAAGGCCUUCGGGUUGUAAACUGCUUUUGUACGGAACGAAAAGACUCUGGUUAAUACCUGGGGUCCAUGACGGUACCGUAAGAAUAAGCACCGGCUAACUACGUG